Molecule: ribosomal RNA, 144 nt
Filed under: Listeria monocytogenes
Lineage: Bacteria; Bacillati; Bacillota; Bacilli; Caryophanales; Listeriaceae
Description: partial 16S ribosomal RNA
Rfam family: Bacterial small subunit ribosomal RNA
Source: RNAcentral
UUUAAAGAGAGUUUGAUCCUGGCUCAGGACGAACGCUGGCGGCGUGCCUAAUACAUGCAAGUCGAACGAACGGAGGAAGAGCUUGCUCUUCCAAAGUUAGUGGCGGACGGGUGAGUAACACGUGGGCAACCUGCCUGUAAGUUG